Molecule: ribosomal RNA, 460 nt
Filed under: uncultured bacterium
Lineage: Bacteria
Description: partial 16S ribosomal RNA
Rfam family: Bacterial small subunit ribosomal RNA
Source: RNAcentral
CCUACGGGUGUCAGCAGUGAGGAAUAUUGGUCAAUGGACGAGAGUCUGAACCAGCCAAGUAGCGUGAAGGAUGACUGCCCUAUGGGUUGUAACCUUCUUUUAUAAAGGAAUAAAACGUGGCGCGUGUGCCUUUUUGCAUGUACUUUAUGAAUAAGGAUCGGCUAACUCCGGGCCAGCAGCCGCGGUAAUACGGAGGUUCCGCGCGUUAUCCGGAUUUAUGGGGUUUAAGGGGAGCGUAGAUGGGUGGGUAAGUCAGUUGUGAAAGCUUGCGGCUCAACCGUAAAAUUGCAAUUGAUACUGGCAGUCUUGAGGACAGUGGAGGUAGGCGGAAUUCGUGGUGUAGCGGUGAAAUGCUUAGAUAGCACGAAGAACCCCGAUUGCGAAGGCAGCUUACUAAACUGUGACUGACAUUGAUGCGCGAAAGUGUGGGUAUCAAACAGGAUUAGAUACCCUUGUAGUC